GACGAACGCUGGCGGCGUGCUUAACACAUGCAAGUCGAACGAUGCAGCCUAGCUUGCUAGGUGGAUUAGUGGCGAACGGGUGAGUAAUACGUGAGUAACCUACCUUUAACUCUGGGAUAAGCCUGGGAAACUGGGUCUAAUACCGGAUACGACCAAUCUCCGCAUGGGGUGUUGGUGGAAAGCGUUAUGUAGUGGUUAUAGAUGGGCUCACGGCCUAUCAGCUUGUUGGUGAGGUAACGGCUCACCAAGGCGACGACGGGUAGCCGGCCUGAGAGGGUGACCGGCCACACUGGGACUGAGACACGGCCCAGACUCCUACGGGAGGCAGCAGUGGGGAAUAUUGCACAAUGGGCGCAAGCCUGAUGCAGCGACGCCGCGUGAGGGAUGACGGCCUUCGGGUUGUAAACCUCUGUUAGCAGGGAAGAAGAGAAAUUGACGGUACCUGCAGAGAAAGCGCCGGCUAACUACGUG
This 471-nucleotide ribosomal RNA is filed under the name uncultured bacterium. RNAcentral describes it as "partial 16S ribosomal RNA". It matches the Rfam family "Bacterial small subunit ribosomal RNA", at positions 28 to 507 of the family's 1533-position model. The record is from RNAcentral.